RNA transcript from Strigops habroptila (Kakapo), 3928 nucleotides. It is a transcript of the gene named DDHD domain containing 1, with no coding region annotated. The record is from RefSeq and is a predicted model, not a curated record. Lineage: Eukaryota; Metazoa; Chordata; Aves; Psittaciformes; Psittacidae. The transcript is spliced from 14 exons.
GGCAGCCGCAGGCCGGCACGGCACGGCGGUGCCGGGGGCGCUGCGGCAUGGAUUAUCCCGAUCCCGCCUCGCGGCACGGCGCCUGGGACCUGCCCGGCGAACCCAGCGCCCACGGCGCCGCUUGCUACGAACAGCCGCGCGGCGGAGAGGAGGAAGCGGCGGCGGCGAUGAUGGAGGAGGAGGAGGCGGCGGCGGCGAGCCGCGGUUUGCAGCGUCCCGUCGCCCAGCCGUCCCGCCGCCCCCAGCAGUGCUUAGCACCGGCACUCGCCGCGCUCUCUACCUCCUCUUCCGAGGGGGAGUUGGAUGCCGCGGCCGCUCUGCCGCGGGAGCCCAGCCUGAGCGAUGAGGCCGGCGGCGGCGGCGGUUUCGACUCGGCCGAGUCCGGAGCCUCGCUACGCUACUCCACGGGCACGGGCGGCGAGUACAGCGAGGGCGAGGGAGCGGGGCUGGCGAGCAGCGAGAGCGGCGGCAGCGGCUUCUACCUCGCGGCGGCCGCGCUGCCCGAGAGAAGGCGGCCGGGCGGCGGCCGGCCCCGCUAUGAGGUGGUGCGGGAGCUGAGUGCCGAGGAUGUGCGCUGGUUCUACCGGGAGGACCGGAAGCCGUGGAAGCCUUUCAUCGGCUACGACUCGCUGCGGAUCGAGCUGGCCUACCGCGCCCUCGGACCCGAGCCGCGGGAGGGCGAGGCGGCGGCAGUGGAGCCGGUGUGCGUGCGGAGCGGGCUCUAUGAGGUGGACGUGGCCAACGCGGAGUGCUACCCCGUCUACUGGAACCAAUCGGAAAAGAUCCCUGUGAUGCGUGGACAGUGGUUUAUUGAUGGCACAUGGCAACCUCUGGAAGAGGAGGAAGGUAACUUAAUAGAACAGGAGCAUCUCAACUGCUUCAAAGGCCAGCAACUGCAAGAGAGCUUUGAUAUAGAAGAACAGACAAAACCUGUUGACAGGAAGGAGGUUCUCUACUACCUACCUUCUUCCUCCCUCCCUUCUUUGUUCAAAUGGAGAGGAUAUAAGAAUUCAGAUGCUGCAUGUCUUAAGCGAAAGCAUUCCGAAGCUAUUCAUAGUCUGAAGUUGAGUCGCAACCAUGUGGACUGGCACAGUGUGGAUGAAGUGUAUCUUUACAGUGAUGCAACAACAUCUAAAAUCGCAAGAACUGUUACACAAAAGCUGGGGAUCUCCAAAGCUUUAAGUAGUGGGACAAGGCUACAUAGAGGCUAUGUAGAAGAAGCUACAUUAGAAGACAAGCCACCACAAAUUAGUCACAUUGUGUUUGUUGUGCAUGGUAUUGGGCAGAAAAUGGACCAAGGAAGGAUCAUCAAAAAUACAGCUAUGAUGCGAGAUGCUGCAAGAAAAAUAGAAGAAAAGUAUUUUUCUGAUCUUUCAACGCUUGUUGAAUUUCUUCCAGUUGAAUGGAGAUCGAAACUUACCCUCGAUGGAGACACUGUGGACUCCAUUACUCCAGAUAAAGUAAGAGGUUUAAGGGACAUGCUGAACAGCAGUGCAAUGGAUAUCAUGUAUUACACCAGUCCUCUUUAUAGAGACGAACUGGUGAAAGGGUUGCAGCAGGAGCUGAACCGGCUAUACACACUCUUCUGUGCCCGGAAUCCAGAGUUUGAGGAGAAAGGAGGGAAAGUCUCAAUUGUGUCCCACUCGCUGGGCUGUGUCAUCACCUACGACAUCAUGACUGGCUGGAACCCCGUCAGGUUUUAUGAACACUUGCUGCAGAAGGAAGAGGAGGAGCUUCAAGACCGCUGGAUGAGCUAUGAGGAGCAACAUUUACUUGAAGAACUUCACAUAACUAAAAACCGGUUGCAAGAGAUAAGAGAGAGGUUACGUGGGUUAAAGGCAUCCACCAUAUCAGAACCACCUGUCUUAAAAUUUAAGGUUGAGAAUUUCUUCUGUAUGGGAUCUCCAUUAGCAGUGUUUUUGGCAUUGCGUGGCAUCCGUCCAGGAAACUCUGGUAGUCAAGACCAUAUUCUGCCCAGAACAAUUUGUAACCGCUUACUAAAUAUUUUUCACCCAACAGAUCCAGUGGCCUAUAGAUUAGAACCUUUAAUUUUGAAACACUACAGCAACAUUUCACCUAUCCAGAUCCACUGGUACAGCACUGUAAACCCUCUACCUUAUGAGUGUAUGAAGCCAAGUUUUCUCAAUCCAACAAAAGAACCUACCUCAGUUACCGAUACUGAAAGUGUGUCAACUGUACCAAGCCCAUCUACUUCACCGGUCAUGGUUCGACACCACUAUGGGAAGUCUAUAACAAAGAUAGGCAAAGCAAGUAUAUUAGGAGCUGCAAGUAUUGGGAAGGGCCUCGGCGGGAUGCUUUUUUCAAGAUUUGGUCGACCUAGUACAACCACGCCACAGACACUCGAGGCAGGAAAAGAUGGAGCCGAGGAGGAUGACAAGAAGGCCACAACGGCUGGGGCGCCCCUUUUACCGCCCAGCAGCAGCUCAAGCUUCCUCGAACCCGCAGUGGAACUGGAGCACAGGAUUGAUUUUGAGCUCAGGGAAGGUCUCGUGGAGAGCAGAUACUGGUCCACAGUCACAUCACACACUGCCUAUUGGUCAUCUCUGGAUAUUGCUUUUUUCCUUCUAACCUUCAUGUACAAACACGACCAAGAAGAUACAGACAAAUCCAGUACGGGCACUGUUUGAAUUUUUGAGUGGGGAUGGGGUGGGAUGGGAAAGGAAAUUUUAAAACCAGUGGCACAAAACUGAUGUUUUACUGUUAAACUGUAGUAAAUAGGGCAUGGAGGUUUCAGGUUUAAGUGCAUGUUUGGAUUUUUUCCUAUUUCUAAGGAGCAAAAUUUAUUUGUAUUUGAAAGCACUUUAUAGUUUUAAACAUUUUGCAGUGCUUAAUUAGAGCUGAAAUGAUUCCAAAUUCUUGUCAACUUUGACUGUAUAAAAAGCCAAUACAAUGUGUAGCAUCCUGUAAGCACAGUUGUGCAGUGUGCUUGGGUGACAUACUUGUUAAUGACCAUAAUUGCUGUUCAAUUCAUUAAAGUAUAAAAGAUCAGUUGAUUAAAAAAAAAUAUUAAUUUCCAUUAACAAAAAUAUAUGUUAGAUACAAACCUAAAACUGCCAUGUUCUGAUGUUUUAUGUACCAGUUAAUAACAAACGGUGGUAUCAUUUCUAGGACUUUAUUCAGCUCCGCAUCCUAUUAUCCACAGUACCAUUGAAAGACCAUUCUGACUGCUGGCUUCUGAGGGUGUGUUAUACGUGACACAUCCAGAAACUAAUGCUGAAAAAGCAUGAAGCAAAUAUUUGAAAUACUGUAAUUAUAAUUUAUUAUUAUCUCUAAUUGUUUCAUUUUAUUCCAGUGUAUAAAACAUUACUUUUUUAGAGGUUUCUUUUGACAUAAUUUAAGAACCACAUUUAUUUUCUACAGUGUGAAGACUUUUUCUCAGAAAUACAUAUCUUUGUACGACUGUUCAAAUGAAAAUAUGGCACUGUGGCACACUUUAAGUAUUUUUUCAUUAAAAAUAAAUGUUUGUGGUUUCACACAAAUGGCAUCAGUCACAUUCUUCUCAAAGGUUUCUGCCUCCACAUACGGAAAACUUGGUGAGAUGGAUCCUGUGACUGGAGUGCAGCUAUCAAUGGCUACGGGUUGUUCAGAAGAGAAGAGAUUGGCAAAUAAGGAAGAGUGGAGGGGUUGCCCUCUACAUUAAGAGAGGUACAGAGUGAGAAGAGCUGUUUCUGAAGAAUAACCAUGAGCAGGUUGAAAGCUUGUAGGUAAGAAUCGGGGACUGAGGAAACAAAGGAAACCUUGUGAUAGGUGUCUACUACAGGCUAUCAAUGAAAGCCUUCUUACUCCAGCUACAGGAGGCAUCAUGCUUGCAGGCUGUUGUCCUGCCAGGGGACUUCAACCACUCUGACAUCUGCUGGAAAAGUAGCAUGGCAAGCUGUAGGCAAUCCAAGAGACGGGAACAGGUUGC